RNAcentral lists this ribosomal RNA (490 nucleotides) under uncultured bacterium. RNAcentral's name for it is "partial 16S ribosomal RNA". It matches the Rfam family "Bacterial small subunit ribosomal RNA", at positions 28 to 507 of the family's 1533-position model. The record is from RNAcentral.
GAUGAACGCUAGCUACAGGCUUAACACAUGCAAGUCGAGGGGCAGCAUGGUCUUAGCUUGCUAAGGCCGAUGGCGACCGGCGCACGGGUGAGUAACACGUAUCCAACCUGCCGUCUACUCUUGGACAGCCUUCUGAAAGGAAGAUUAAUACAAGAUGGCAUCAUGAGUCCGCAUGUUCACAUGAUUAAAGGUAUUCCGGUAGACGAUGGGGAUGCGUUCCAUUAGAUAGUAGGCGGGGUAACGGCCCACCUAGUCCUCGAUGGAUAGGGGUUCUGAGAGGAAGGUCCCCCACAUUGGAACUGAGACACGGUCCAAACUCCUACGGGAGGCAGCAGUGAGGAAUAUUGGUCAAUGGGCGAGAGCCUGAACCAGCCAAGUAGCGUGAAGGAUGACUGCCCUAUGGGUUGUAAACUUCUUUUAUAAAGGAAUAAAGUCGGGUAUGGAUACCCGUUUGCAUGUACUUUAUGAAUAAGGAUCGGCUAACUCCGUG